CGGGGAGUGGCGCAGUUGGUAGCGCGCCUGCUUUGGGAGCAGGAGGUCCCGGGUUCGAAUCCCGGCUCCCCGA
Molecule: transfer RNA, 73 nt
Filed under: Elusimicrobia bacterium RIFCSPLOWO2_01_FULL_59_12
Lineage: Bacteria; Pseudomonadati; Elusimicrobiota
Description: tRNA-Pro
Rfam family: tRNA
About the family: Transfer RNA (tRNA) molecules are approximately 80 nucleotides in length.
Source: RNAcentral